GAAUAUUGGACAAUGGGCGCAAGCCUGAUCCAGCAAUGCCGCGUGUGUGAAGAAGGCCUGCGGGUUGUAAAGCACUUUCAGUGGGGAGGAAGGCCUCAAUGCUAAUAGUAUUGAGGAUUGACGUUACCUACAGAAGAAGCACCGGCUAACUCUGUGCCAGCAGCCGCGGUAAUACAGAGGGUGCGAGCGUUAAUCGGAAUUACUGGGCGUAAAGGGCGCGUAGGUGGUUAUUUAAGUCAGAUGUGAAAUCCCUGGGCUUAACAUAGGAAUUACAUUUGAAACUAGAUAGCUAGAGUACGGUAGAGGGAAGUGGAAUUUCCGGUGUAGCGGUGAAAUGCGUAGAUAUCGGGAGGAACAUCAGUGGCGAAGGCGACUUCCUGGACCGUUACUGACACUGAGGCGCGAAAGCGUGGGGAGCGAACAGG
This 425-nucleotide ribosomal RNA is filed under the name uncultured bacterium. Its description in RNAcentral is "bacterial SSU rRNA". It matches the Rfam family "Bacterial small subunit ribosomal RNA", at positions 359 to 776 of the family's 1533-position model. The record is from RNAcentral.